UUGGAUUCUCAACUCCAACAUCAUUUUUCUCCUUUUUAUUAACUUAAUUAAUCCUAGCCGUCCCUUCCAUUUCACUUCAGAUAAUCUCAGCCAUUUAAGUCUUACUAUAUAUACGUUUAUUUAAGCCUAACCCUACCCUCAUAGUGCUCAUCUCCUCCUCCUCCUUUCUGCCGAUUGUGGAGGUCUUCUCUGCUUCCUCCUUUCCUUUUUUUUUUUUCUCCAGCAAGCCCUUGUAGUCCCUUUCGAUUUCUUCCCCAUCUCUAGAUUUCUUUGAUUUAAAGCCUCUAUUUAUUUUUUUUGUUUAUUUAUGUAGCUUUCAAUAUCCUUUCCAUCGACCACCACUCUCCUCUCAUCUGCUUGUACUUUCUCGCCUAAUUGGCCAGCGCUCUUCUCUGUGAUUUUGGGAGUUCUUGUGGUAUCAGUAUCAGCAACAAUUCUCCUUUCGCAUAAGUAAGUCACAGGUAGCAGAGAGCUGGGAAAUGAAGAUGUUAGUGGUUGCUCUAAUCAACUAUGCAAUAGCAACGACAAUUGAACAUGAACUCAAAACCCAUCCCAACCCAAAUUACAAAACAUAUGCUAGAAAUAUUCGUCUCCUAUUGGGUUAUAUGGCAAUUGUGAUAUUUGUUUUGAUUAAUGUUCUCAUCUAUGGUGUGUUACUUUUGAGUUUAUGGGUUUACAUGGUUAUACGAGUAGCACGCAAUCCAUAUCAAGACUUAUAUCUAUUAGUAGGUGAAGAUUUGCAGCACUCAAAGGAGCUAGCUGAAGAUGCAAUCCAAAGGCUAUUUGGCAGGCUGGAGUGAGCCACGGAAUCAAUCGUCUAGUUAGGUAUAUCAUUCUAGUAAAUCUGAGUUGUCUUUAUAAUUUUAGAUCUCUAUAUAAAAUGUAUGAUUUUAGCAGUAAUUUUAAUGGUUUAAUUGUGAUAGUUUAGUCUAUAUUAAUGUAACUGAGUUGUAGAAAUAAUACUUAGUUGUAGGAUUUUGAAAGGGUUUUCAUUGAAAUUUUGAAAUUUAUUUGUGUAUUUCAUGAUUGAACAUGUUAGAAUAUUUGUUUAUUA
Hevea brasiliensis (rubber tree) is the source of this 1054-nucleotide long non-coding RNA. RefSeq lists it as uncharacterized. NCBI's taxonomy places the organism in Eukaryota, Viridiplantae, Streptophyta, Magnoliopsida, Malpighiales, Euphorbiaceae. The transcript is spliced from 2 exons. The record is from RefSeq and is a predicted model, not a curated record.